Molecule: ribosomal RNA, 248 nt
Filed under: uncultured bacterium
Lineage: Bacteria
Description: partial 16S ribosomal RNA
Rfam family: Bacterial small subunit ribosomal RNA
Source: RNAcentral
UAGAUGGCGACCGGCGCACGGGUGAGUAACACGUAUCCAACCUGCCGAUAACUCGGGGAUAGCCUUUCGAAAGAAAGAUUAAUACCCGAUGGUAUAAUAAAGCCGCAUGGUUUAAUUAUUAAAGAAUUUCGGUUAUCGAUGGGGAUGCGUUCCAUUAGGCAGUUGGUGAGGUGACGGCUCACCAAACCUUCGAUGGAUAGGGGUUCUGAGAGGAAGGUCCCCCACAUUGGAACUGAGACACGGUCCAA